AAUAGAUACCCUGGUAGUCCACGCCGUAAACGAUGAGUGCUAAGUGUUAGAGGGUUUCCGCCCUUUAGUGCUGCAGCUAACGCAUUAAGCACUCCGCCUGGGGAGUACGGUCGCAAGACUGAAACUCAAAGGAAUUGACGGGGGCCCGCACAAGCGGUGGAGUAUGUGGUUUAAUUCGAAGCAACGCGAAGAACCUUACCAGGUCUUGACAUCCUCUGACAACUCUAGAGAUAGAGCGUUCCCCUUCGGGGGACAGAGUGACAGGUGGUGCAUGGUUGUCGUCAGCUCGUGUCGUGAGAUGUUGGGUUAAGUCCCGCAACGAGCGCAACCCUUGAUCUUAGUUGCCAGCAUUCAGUUGGGCACUCUAAGGUGACUGCCGGUGACAAACCGGAGGAAGGUGGGGAUGACGUCAAAUCAUCAUGCCCCUUAUGACCUGGGCUACACACGUGCUACAAUGGAUGGUACAAAGGGCUGCAAGACCGCGAGGUCAAGCCAAUCCCAUAAAACCAUUCUCAGUUCGGAUUGUAGG
This 529-nucleotide ribosomal RNA is filed under the name uncultured bacterium. Its description in RNAcentral is "bacterial SSU rRNA". It matches the Rfam family "Bacterial small subunit ribosomal RNA", at positions 777 to 1304 of the family's 1533-position model. The record is from RNAcentral.